Molecule: ribosomal RNA, 253 nt
Filed under: uncultured bacterium
Lineage: Bacteria
Description: partial 16S ribosomal RNA
Rfam family: Bacterial small subunit ribosomal RNA
Source: RNAcentral
UACGGAGGGGGCUAGCGUUGUUCGGAAUUACUGGGCGUAAAGCGCACGUAGGCGGCUUUGUAAGUUAGAGGUGAAAGCCCGGGGCUCAACUCCGGAAUUGCCUUUAAGACUGCAUCGCUAGAAUUGUGGAGAGGUAAGUAGAAUUCCGAGUGUAGAGGUCAAAUUCGUAGAUAUUCGGAAGAACACCAGUGGCGAAGGCGACUUACUGGACACAUAUUGACGCUGAGGUGCGAAAGCGUGGGGAGCAAACAGG